GCGGCGGUAGCUCAAUUGGAUAGAGCAUCAGACUUCGGAUCUGAGGGUUGAGGGUUCAAGUCCUUCCCGCCGCGCCA
Molecule: transfer RNA, 77 nt
Filed under: Bdellovibrionales bacterium CG10_big_fil_rev_8_21_14_0_10_45_34
Lineage: Bacteria; Pseudomonadati; Bdellovibrionota; Bdellovibrionia; Bdellovibrionales
Description: tRNA-Arg
Rfam family: tRNA
About the family: Transfer RNA (tRNA) molecules are approximately 80 nucleotides in length. Their secondary structure includes four short double-helical elements and three loops (D, anti-codon, and T loops). Further hydrogen bonds mediate the characteristic L-shaped molecular structure. tRNAs have two regions of fundamental functional importance: the anti-codon, which is responsible for specific mRNA codon recognition, and the 3' end, to which the tRNAs corresponding amino acid is attached (by aminoacyl-tRNA synthetases). tRNAs cope with the degeneracy of the genetic code in two manners: having more than one tRNA (with a specific anti-codon) for a particular amino acid; and 'wobble' base-pairing, i.e. permitting non-standard base-pairing at the 3rd anti-codon position.
Source: RNAcentral